RNAcentral lists this ribosomal RNA (463 nucleotides) under uncultured bacterium. RNAcentral's name for it is "bacterial SSU rRNA". It matches the Rfam family "Bacterial small subunit ribosomal RNA", at positions 29 to 535 of the family's 1533-position model. The record is from RNAcentral.
AGCGAACGCUGGCGGCAGGCUUAACACAUGCAAGCCGAACGGGCGUAGCAAUACGUCAGUGGCAGACGGGUGAGUAACGCGUGGGAACGUACCUUUUGGUUCGGAACAACCCAGGGAAACUUGGGCUAAUACCGGAUAAGCCCUUACGGGGAAAGAUUUAUCGCCGAAAGAUCGGCCCGCGUCUGAUUAGCUAGUUGGUGUGGUAACGGCGCACCAAGGCGACGAUCAGUAGCUGGUCUGAGAGGAUGAUCAGCCACAUUGGGACUGAGACACGGCCCAAACUCCUACGGGAGGCAGCAGUGGGGAAUAUUGGACAAUGGGCGCAAGCCUGAUCCAGCCAUGCCGCGUGAGUGAUGAAGGCCCUAGGGUUGUAAAGCUCUUUUGUGCGGGAAGAUAAUGACGGUACCGCAAGAAUAAGCCCCGCUAACUUCGUGCCAGCAGCCGCCGUAAUACCUGAGACCGC